This is a long non-coding RNA of Zea mays, 565 nucleotides long. RefSeq lists it as uncharacterized. NCBI's taxonomy places the organism in Eukaryota, Viridiplantae, Streptophyta, Magnoliopsida, Poales, Poaceae. The record is from RefSeq and is a predicted model, not a curated record. The transcript is spliced from 3 exons.
GUGCUAACUUGAACUAGCUGAAGAAGAUUGGCGCCUAUAUAUUCCAAGGUGUGCUUACAAUUUGAUAACGUCCCAUGAACGAUAUAAGUGGACAACGCCAACAAGUAUGUGAUACUAUUGGAGAUAGUGCAGGUCCUCAUUGACCUCAAGCUCAUAGUCAAGAAGGCAUACACAUCCUCAGACAUAGGAUGGUUCAUGGACAAUAUGAGAGCUGUUGGUUUCUUUCCUUUCCUUUUCAUCAAAAUGGUGCGACAAUUUCUAAGCUAUUUGAUUUCUGCUGGCAGUCUUCACUAUGACGAACCAAAGUGGGCACGAGGUAAUGGACGAAUCAGUGCUACAAAGAAUAAAGGGCUACAUUUACAAGUAAGCACAAUUUGGUCCUUAGUCUCUGCAAGUUAGCGAGGCUAGCUUAACCGUUGCUUGAUUUAGUCAUCAGAUGUUUGAAUACUGACCUGCAAGGGGGAUGCUCCAAAUGUUAAUACCAUUUGCAGGUAUAUGCCCGUGUAUCCAUAGAAAUCCUAAUGUUUGGGGGGCUCUUUUGUUGGUUUAGAAUACCAUUUGCAGG